Molecule: long non-coding RNA, 148 nt
Organism: Rana temporaria (common frog)
Lineage: Eukaryota; Metazoa; Chordata; Amphibia; Anura; Ranidae
Exons: 3
Source: RefSeq, a predicted model, not a curated record
GACCUUCUCCCACAGAGAGGUCCAUCUUUUCUUGAAGAAGACACCGGAACAUAAGGUUACUGCUUUUCAUCCUACACAUAUUCUCAAGGGAAGGAUUUGCCUAGGAGAUCAUCAUACACAGACAGCAAUAAAAACCUAAGGUGAACAA